AUCGCCUGCCAUCCUCUGCGGCGGCGGCUUGUACGACAAUGCGGGGCCAUGACCUUUGUCCCACGGGGGCUUGUGUGUCGCGGUGGGGCUUUCCUGAGUGGCUGGCUUCCUUUUUGCCCUCCUUUCUUUGCGAUAAAAGGCGUCGCCUCCCUCCCUCUAUCGCUCCGUGGUCGGUGUGUUUGUUAGCCGUUGGCCUCCUCCUGCCCGUCGAAGGGAAACGCGCGUGCGUGCGUAUUAACCGGCGUUUCUGGAAGGGCCUGAGUCGCUUCAUCCUCGCUUUCCAUUUGCUUUUCUUCCUCAGAUUCCUGAAGGGAGGCGGCAGCGGCGGCGGCAGCAUGGACUCAGUGCAUCCCGACCUUUGGGAGCUUCUCGAAGAUACCUGUGCCGCUUUGCCAAACAAACCAGCGCACAGGGGGUCACAAAGAUAACUUUAUUACCGUUCAAAAGGGUACAUCUGUGUCAGCUAUGCAGUGAGGUUUUCUAAUUCAUGCACCUAAUGGUCCAACUGAAGCGGCGGCAAAAAGGAACUGAGGGGACCUUUGGAGGCCACGAAGAAGAAGCAUUAUUCUGCUAAAUGCUGUUCUAGUAAAUCAACCUUCAUCUGCAAGAAUCAAGUGAAUUGCCGAAGUGCCCCAUAGGAAAGCAUAGAGAGACUGAACUAUGACUUCCAUGAAGCACCAAAAAUGCAUCUUCAGUGAGAGAUGCAUACAGGGAAUCCUCAUCAUUUUGGUACAAUUUUACGUAUUCCAUGAGCUGGAGCUGAAGAAACACUUCUCACCAGGUCUCAUCAGAGAAGACAAAAAGUCUAGCCCAAAGAUGGCGAUUGUAAAACAACCAAUUGACAUCCUGCUGUGAUUUAUAUAUAUUGUUGUGGCUUAGACAUCAGAAGAGAUGCAGGGAGAAGGCAGAACAACUUGGUGUGAUAAAGUGAUGUCUCUUCCUACCCAAAAUUGGAAAUAGAGAUAUGAGAGACAAGUUCCUUAUCCACAAUCUAGUAAACAGUGUGUCCUUACCUUCCUUGAGCUGAGGUGCUGUUUGUCUUUAUAGGUGCUGUUUUCUAAGCAGAAGGGUCUCAGAAGAGUUGAGUUACUCCACAGUGGUUUGCCUAUGUCUGUUUACUUAUGAAUAAAACUUACCAGAUAUA
Non-coding RNA from Pogona vitticeps (central bearded dragon), 1144 nucleotides. Lineage: Eukaryota; Metazoa; Chordata; Lepidosauria; Squamata; Agamidae. The record is from RefSeq and is a predicted model, not a curated record.